CCUGAGAAACCUAAAAGUUCGAAAAGAGAGAUUCAGCGUCUACAUGUGCAAUAUUGACGUGAGUAGUGAUGCGAGUUUUCAGUGAAGGGUUCGCUCUUUUUCUGAUACUUGUACAUUUUCAUGUUAUUUUAUUGUUGUACUAUUGUCGGCGUGCACUUCUCUCUUAGUAGGACGUCCCGACCCGUUGGGUCUUGGCCUACGGUCCGGAUGGUCGCCUUUAAUAUUUUAUAUUAAAGACCGCCGGUGUCCUGGCUAAGUGCUCGACGGUAGUUUUGACGUGGUAUUAAGCCGCAUUAUUAAUGCGUCCGGCCUGUCGCAAGUUUUUUUGACAAAUUCUGUAUCAUCAUAGACUCUGUGCUAUGUGUAUGGUUUUGUUGGCUGUUUGCAUGACUGUGCUCUUGGACUGUCUUAUAUAUACCUGUCUGGGACGCUUAGGCUUUGGGUACUCUCAGGACCCGUCUUGAAACACGGACCAAGGAGUCUAACAUGUACGCGAGUCAUUGGGUAUAUAUUAUCCUUCGGGAUUUUAUAUAAAACAAACCUAAAGGCGAAAUGAAAGUAAAGGUUAAACCGCCGUUUAACUUCGGGAUGAUGGGUUAUUAAUUUAUCCUCGCAAUCCCAGGGCGUCUUAAUCUCAUUGCGAGAUGA
Molecule: ribosomal RNA, 648 nt
Filed under: Bassus dimidiator
Lineage: Eukaryota; Metazoa; Arthropoda; Insecta; Hymenoptera; Braconidae
Description: eukaryotic LSU rRNA
Rfam family: Eukaryotic large subunit ribosomal RNA
Source: RNAcentral